GAUGAAGAACGUAGUGAAAUGCGAUACGUAAUGUGAAUUGCAGAAUUCAGUGAAUCAUCGAGUCUUUGAACGCACAUUGCGCCCCCUGGCAUUCCGGGGGGCAUGCCUGUCCGAGCGUCAUUUCUGCCCUCCAGCCCGGCUGGGUGUUGGGCGCUGUCCCCCCGGGGACACGCCCCAAAGGCAGUGGCGGCGCCGCGUCGGGUCCUCGAGCGUAUGGGGCUUUGUCACCCGCUCGGGACGGACUCGUCGGCGCUGGUCUUCCUCCAGGCGACCCUUCGGGGCUCGUCUUCCUUCGGUUGACCUCGGAUCAGGUAGGGUUACCCGCUGAACUUAAGCAUAUCAAUAAGCGGAGGA
RNAcentral lists this unclassified non-coding RNA (354 nucleotides) under soil metagenome. RNAcentral describes it as "partial contains 5.8S ribosomal RNA, internal transcribed spacer 2, and large subunit ribosomal RNA". The stretch from base 1 to 120 matches the Rfam family "5.8S ribosomal RNA", at positions 35 to 154 of the family's 154-position model. The record is from RNAcentral.